AUUAGGUAAGAGUACCCGCUGAACUUAAGCAUAUCAAUAAGCGGAGGAAAAGAAACUAACAAGGAUUCCCUUAGUAACGGCGAGUGAAGUGGGAAUGGCUCAAAUUUUAAAUCUGGCCGGUUUCUGGUCCGAAUUGUAAUUUAAAGAAGCGUUUACAGCGUCCUCUCGGGUAUAGGUCCCUUGGAAUAGGGCAUCAUAGAGGGUGAGAAUCCCGUCUGUGACACGAGUUCGGGUGCGAUACGUAACGCUUUCGACGAGUCGAGUUGUUUGGGAUUGCAGCUCAAAAUGGGUGGUAAAUUCCAUCUAAGGCUAAAUACUUGCAAGAGACCGAUAGCGAACAAGUACCGUGAGGGAAAGAUGAAAAGAACUUUGAAAAGAGAGUUAAACAGUACGUGAAAUUGUUGAAAGGGAAACGAUUGAAGCCAGUCGUGUCGGUGGGAAAUCAGCUUCCGGGAUUCCUGGGGGUGCACUUUCUCGCAAGGCAGGUUAGCGUCAGUUUCGCCAGUUGUAAAAAGUCCGUCGGAAUGUGACUCCUUUCGGAGUGUUAUAGCCAGCGGUCAAUGCGACGUGCGGGACUGAGGAUUGCAGCGGGUGCCUUUCGAGGCUGCCUUUCGGGGCUAUGUGCCUAGCUCUUGUUUGUGAUCGUCUUGGUAGCAGCUUGCUGGUGCCGAGCCCGAUUCGUGGGCACGGGGUAUAGCGUCACGGUAAACUCGCUAAGGAUGCUGACGUAAUGGCUUUAAACGACCCGUCUUGAAACACGGACCAAGGAGUCUAACAUAUGUGCGAGUGUU
Molecule: ribosomal RNA, 791 nt
Filed under: uncultured Ambisporaceae
Lineage: Eukaryota; Fungi; Glomeromycota; Glomeromycetes; Archaeosporales; Ambisporaceae
Description: eukaryotic LSU rRNA
Rfam family: Eukaryotic large subunit ribosomal RNA
Source: RNAcentral